CUCGUGUCGUGAGAUGUUGGGUUAAGUCCCGCAACGAGCGCAACCCCUGUUCUAUGUUGCCAGCACGUGAUGGUGGGGACUCAUGGGAGACUGCCGGGGUCAACUCGGAGGAAGGUGGGGAUGACGUCAAAUCAUCAUGCCCCUUAUGUCUUGGGCUUCACACAUGCUACAAUGGCCGGUACAAAGGGCUGCGAUACCGCGAGGUGGAGCGAAU
Molecule: ribosomal RNA, 214 nt
Filed under: Ditylum brightwellii
Lineage: Eukaryota; Bacillariophyta; Thalassiosirophyceae; Lithodesmiales; Lithodesmiaceae
Description: partial Bacterial small subunit ribosomal RNA
Rfam family: Bacterial small subunit ribosomal RNA
Source: RNAcentral